UUCCAUUGUCGUUCUCCACCUACUCCUGAUAAAAUCACACCAAAAUGGACUUUCCCUCUUCCCUUGCAGAAAACCCUAGAGAAAAGUGACUGAAAUCUCAACACCGUGGACCACUCUACCUCUCACGCAACUCUCUACAUCUCUCACGCAGUCCGUCUCUCAAGCAGCUCUCUCUGGCUCUCACGCAGCACUCUCCAUCUCUCACGCAACUCUCUCUGUCCCAGUUAUGAAAAAUGUCAAUAAUACUCCAACAAUCACCUCCAAUGACGAUGAUAGAGAAGAAUUGAUUCUCGCAACAUUGUUGAUAGCACAAUAUCAUUAUUCUAGCAAUCUAUACACUAGAGAACCACGCAGGAAGAAUGCAUUCACAAGGGUAGCAUGGGUACAUGAGGUGUUGCCUAGGCAUGCAAACCUUUGUUAUGAAUAAUUUGGCAUGGAACGACACGUGUUUUUAAAUUUAUGCCUACUAACGAGACAUCGUGGUUGGUUACAAGACAGUCGUAUUAUUAGGGUAGAUGAGCAGUUGGCAAUGUUCAUGUUUAGAAUAAUAGGAAUAGGUCCUACCAAUAGAGCAGUUGAGGAGAGAUUCCAGCAUUCAUGAUAGACUGCCAGCUAUUACUUUGGCGAAGUGUUACAAGGGGUGCUUAAGCUUUCUAAGGAGUAUAUCAAAGCCCCAUCAUUCAAUGAGAUUCCUAUGGAAAUAAUUGCAAACAACAAACGGUGGCCAUAUUUUAAGGAUUGUAUUGGUGCUAUAGAUGGUACACAUGCUACUGCUAUAGUUCCCAAGGGAAAACAUAUCCCAUAUCGAGGACGAAAGGGAAUAACAACUCAAAAUAUGUGUGCCUGUUUGUUUGACAUGAAAUUCACAUUUGCAUACGCGGAAUGGGAAGGCAGUGCAAAUGAUUGUCGUGUAUUCAAUAGAGUCCUAGAAGAUCCUACCUUAUGAUUUUCUCAUCCUCCCCAAGAUAUAUCAAUGUCCAAACUAUCAUGUAUGCAAAUUACUGCUAUGUAUCAUUUAAUAUCUUGCUUUAUCAUAUUGUAGGGAAGUAUUAUAUUGUGGACUCGGGAUAUGCGAGUAGGAAUGGAUAUUUGACACUAUUUAAAGAAGAAAUAUAUCAUAUACCAGAUUAUGAUGGUGGAAAAAGACAACCCAGAAGUACUAAGGAAUCAUUUAAUUAUAGACAUUCUUCUUUAAGGAAUCAUAUUGAACGUUGUUUUGGGAUUUUAAAAUCAAGAUUCCCUAUUUUAAGAAACAUGCCUCAAUUUUCACUUAGUUACCAAAUUUCUAUUGUGAUAGUUUGUUGUGGAUUUCAUAACUACAUGAAAUCUAAACAAAUAACAUUUGCACUUUUUCAAGAAUUUGAAGAAGACAAUGCUCUCGAUGCUAAUGAAGAGAGAGUCAGGGUAGUCAAUGUUCGUGAAGAAUAAGAAGAUGGUGACGUUGCUAGUAUUUCUACUAUAAUUCAUCAGGGUAGUCAAUGUACACGAGGAAGACAGAUGAAUGAGCUACGAAUACAAAUUGCAAAUCAGAUGGCAGUAGAUAAGGGUUACCUCCUGAUUUGAGUGUUUAUGUAAUAAAGACACCUAUUUGUAGCUAUGAUUUUUAUUUUGUAAUGCCGAUAAACUUGAGUGGGAAACUUUUUUUUUUAUUAAGCUAAAUGUGGAAACAUUUUAUG
Long non-coding RNA from Macadamia integrifolia, 1676 nucleotides. RefSeq lists it as uncharacterized. The record is from RefSeq and is a predicted model, not a curated record. NCBI's taxonomy places the organism in Eukaryota, Viridiplantae, Streptophyta, Magnoliopsida, Proteales, Proteaceae. The transcript is spliced from 3 exons.